RNAcentral lists this ribosomal RNA (450 nucleotides) under uncultured bacterium. Its description in RNAcentral is "bacterial SSU rRNA". It matches the Rfam family "Bacterial small subunit ribosomal RNA", at positions 354 to 796 of the family's 1533-position model. The record is from RNAcentral.
GUAGGGAAUAUUGGACAAUGGGCGAAAGCCUGAUCCAGCCAUGCCGCGUGAGUGAUGAAGGCCUUCGGGUCGUAAAGCUCUUUUCUGAGGGAAGAACAGCCGGGGGAGGAAAUGUCCCCGGCCUGACGGUACCUUAGGAAUAAGGGACGGCUAACUCCGUGCCAGCAGCCGCGGUAAUACGGAGGUCCCGAGCGUUGUUCGGAAUUACUGGGCGUAAAGGGAGCGCAGGCGGACGGGUCAGUCUGAAGUGGAAAUCCGGGGCUUAACCUCGGACUUGCUUCGGAUACUGCCCGUCUUGAGUUCGUGAGAGGAAGAUGGAAUUCAGGGUGUAGCGGUGAAAUGCUCAGAUAUCCUGAGGAACACCAGUGGCGAAAGCGGUCUUCUGGCACGAAACUGACGCUGAGGCUCGAAAGCGUGGGUAGCAAACAGGAUUAGAAACCCGAGUAGUCC